AUUAAUAAGGUCUUUUAAAAAAAAUUAUGCUGUUAUCCCUAAGGUAAUUAAUUUUUAAAGUUUAAAUUUUAAGAUAUUUAAUUCAAUAAUUAUUGUUAAUUAUAUAAAAAAUUUUUUAAAUUUUUAAAUUACCCCAAUUAAAUUUAGGAUUUUAAUAUAAAUAUAUAAAUUAAUUUUUAUAAUAAAAAUUAAAUAAAAUUCUAUAGGGUCUUGUCGUCUUUUAAAAGUAUUUAAGUUUUUUUACUUAAAUAAAAAUUUAAAUUUUUAUUUAAUUGAAACAGUUUAUAUUUUAUUAAAUCAUUCAUUCUAGUUUUUAAUUAAAAAACAAAUUAUUAUGCUACCUUUGUACAGUUAUGGAUUCUGCAGCCAU
This 370-nucleotide ribosomal RNA is filed under the name Alysia soror. Its description in RNAcentral is "partial 16S ribosomal RNA". The record is from RNAcentral. Lineage: Eukaryota; Metazoa; Arthropoda; Insecta; Hymenoptera; Braconidae.